This 4243-nucleotide long non-coding RNA is filed under the name Fragaria vesca (wild strawberry). RNAcentral describes it as "long non-coding RNA (FVES_LNC001833)". The record is from RNAcentral. Lineage: Eukaryota; Viridiplantae; Streptophyta; Magnoliopsida; Rosales; Rosaceae.
UAUCUACUACUUAUUAACAACAACUUCAUGUAUAUUAUCAAAUCAUCAACCAAAUCGAUCAACACAGAUAUAUAUACAUCCAACGUACUCAAAAUCGAUCAACUCAAUCACACUCAAAAUCGAUCAACUCAAAUAAAACUCAAAAUCAACAUAUAUACACAUAUAUGUACCUAUAUAGAGCUCCAUAAACUAAUUAUGGACAGAUUUCGAUAACACCCAAACUUUUUGUCCCGUUUUUCUUCUCCUGUUUUUUUUUCCCAGAUGAGCUGCUGUUCAGAUCUGCAAAUAUAAGACACUUUAGCUGAUGACAUUUUAAUUUCGUCGGCUAAACUUUUAUAUUUUCAUCGGCUAAAGUUUACAGACUAUAGCCGACCAAAAAAAUUCUUUAGCCGACGAAAAUUUAAAUUAGCCGACGAAGGAAAAUUUCGUCGGCUAAAGUAGACUUUAGCUGACGAAAAAAUAAUUUGUUGGCCUGGUUUUUUUAUUUUCGUCGGCUAAAUCCUUUCUUCUGGUAGUGUUCUCUCGUAUUCUCAUACUCUACAACACUUUAUCAGACUUGGUGCUCUUACCAAGAUUUAAAUUAAAGUUCCUGCUUUCAGAAUUUAAAUUUACCUCUGAUGAGUUGAGGUCGGUUGUGGGCGUCGGCCGAGGAGUAGGAGCCCUUCUGGACUUGCUUGGAAGGCGAGCAAUCUUAGAAUUUUCGGAUUCUUGAGGCUACCUAUAGAAAAAACAAUUUUUCGCCUACUUAUGCUUCGAGUUUGGGGCUUAAAAUUUGACAAGAGGAGCAGAUCUAGAUGGGGAAGCUGAUGUCAAAAAUUCAGGUUGAUCGGAGCACGAGAAGGCGGUGAACCGGUGGUCGGCAGCGGCGGCGGUCUGGAAUCUUCCGGCGGCCGGUUUGGAGACUUUCCGGCCGGUUCUCGGGGUGAGGCCGNNNNNNNNNNNNNNNNNNNNUCCAUCUUCUGGGAGGCACACCAUUUUCUACGGUCCCAUCAAAUGCCUAUGCAUCGAACCGCCAUUUGUGAUCAUAUGGAAGGAGAGUACGGUGACCCAAUUUGCAUAUCUUGUUGCAAUGACUGCUACUCCCCUCAUCGCUAAGGCACUCUAGAUAAGCCUUGUAUCCCCAAACAAAGUUGUCCGACAACAUCCCACGGGCAAGAAAAUCACUGAUGGUACCAACAACCAUGACAUGCAUCUGGAACAUCUCGUGCAUGUACUUGUCAUAAGUGGGAUGACCAACGUCCCACAAAAACUUAUGCUCUUCAAUCAAAAGUCUCAAAUACACAUCGAGACACUUCCCUGGAUAACCGGGCCCCGGAAUCAAUAAACUCAACAUAUUGUAUUCCUUCUUCAUGCACAUCCAUGGAGGAAGGUUGUACGGUACCAAAAUCACUGGCCAUACACUAUAUUGAAGACUCAUGUUGCCGAAAGGGUUGAACCUCUUCGUAUGAGAGCCCGAGCCUCACAUUUCGGACCUCUGACGCAAAAUACUCCCUGUCUAUAUGCUUCCAAGCCUCCCCGUCAGCAGGAUGUAUAAGGGUAUCUUCGUCAUGCAAUUCCCUAUCAGCGUGUCAUCUCAUAGCUUCAGCCGUGUGUGAAGACAUGUACAACCGCUCUAGCCUAUCCCUCAACGGGAAAUACAGAAGUACCUUCACAGGUUUCCUAUUGCCUGCAGGAGUCAGCUUAUACCUGUCAGUGUGACAUACCGGACAUGCGUCAAGGCCACCAAGGUCAUUCCCUUCUGGAUCUUUACCCCAGAAGAGAACGCAGUCAUAUCUACAUGCAUGAAUCUUGAUGUAGGAAAGCCCAAGAUCUUUCAGGAUACAUCGGACCUUAUGAUGAGUGGUAGGAAGACGAUGACCGUGGGGCAGCAUCGAAACAGUGUACUGUAGAUAAUCAUCAACAGCCUUCACGGUUGAUUUUGUGUCAACUUUAAUCUUCAUUACGUCCAUCACACUUUCAAGAACGGUCUUCUGACAAUCGGGUUACACAGGGGUCUGUUGGAAAGCAAGCAGUUUGUUGUACUUGUCAAUACCAGCAGUGUUGACAGCUCUAGGGAAGGGCUGCACCAGUUCAGGCAUAUACUGUCCUUGAGCGCAUACACCUCUCUCAUAAGGAAACAUGUCGUUGACGAAGGCCGUUGUUGGAUCGUUGGAUGUACUGCCCGUCUCAGAAAAUUGCUCAUGAUCAUGCGGACCCCUUGAUGAUGUUUCACUGUGAUAUAACCAACAUGUGUACUUCUCCCAAAACCCGUUACUCUUCAGGUGCUGUCAUACUUUGUCAAUCGCAAAUCGAUGCAUAUCACUGUGACACUGACAUUUCGUGCACGGGCAAUAGAAAAUUGUAUUCCCGUUAGCAUUAGCUAGCGCAUAUUCCAGAAAACUCAUAACUCUUUUACCAUAUCUUUUGUCCCAUUUUGGAAGCGAAAUCCAACUCUUAUCCAUAUCCUGAAAAUAUAACAAAAUAUAUAUGUAUAACGCUAGCUAAUUAUUAAUUAAAUUCCAUGCCAUAUAUAAAAUCUCAAUUCAUUUAGUAUAUAUUCUACGUACUACAACUAAUUAAUAACAAAUUAAUUAACACAUAUAUAUACUUAAUAAUUACAUAACAAUAUUAUAUAUCAACAUCAUCACAAAAUCAUCAUCAACUCAUAUCAUCAACAACUUCAUACCAUCAACACAAUAUUAUGAAUUAAUUAACAUAUAUAUAUAUAUAUCUACUACUUAUUAACAACAACUUCAUGUAUAUUAUCAAAUCAUCAACCAAAUCGAUCAACACAGAUAUAUAUACAUCCAACGUACUCAAAAUCGAUCAACUCAAUCACACUCAAAAUCGAUCAACUCAAAUAAAACUCAAAAAUCAACAUAUAUACACAUAUAUGUACCUAUAUAGAGCUCCNNNNNNNNNNNNNNNNNNNNUUUUUUUUCGAUGGAGGGGCUAUUAGCAAAGCUUGGUAAGAGCACCAAGUCUGAUAACGUGUUUAAGAGUAUGUGAAUACGAGAGAAAAGGUCCACUCAUUCAUUAAUAGAUUAGCCUUUAUAUAGGCAUUACAUAAAGAAUCCAUGUAAAUCAGAGAUAGAUAUGUAAGAGAUAUUAUAGUCUAAUAAGGAGAAGUUCAGUCAAGACACAUCAUUAAAGAUAAGAAUGUAAAUUCCUUCAACAUAUAUAUAUAUAUAUGUAUAUAUACACCCGCGCAUUAUUGUGUGCGCAUUAUAUAUAAAGAAACAAACUUUAUAGCGGAUACUAUUGCAUGCAUGUAUCAACAUAUUUUUCAUUUGAAUGAGAAUAUGCCGACAUUAAUUUAGCUACACAUGAGAUUCUAUAAUAAGAGAUCUUCUAUUUUUGAGCAUGGGUCCUUGUUAGUCAUUGUUCUAGCUACUCGAAACAAUUAUAAACAUAAGCCCUAGCUUGUUAAAUUUAAGAGAAACUAUAACCAAUCCUAUCGCGGCUAAUUUCUUCUUCUUUUUUUUAGGAAAAAUUACUAUAUUAUAAAGUCCAACAUUAUAUCAAGCGGUUUCAGUGGACAAGAACCGAAAAAGGUUAAACCAUAACCUAAUCUAGAAGUCUCGAUACAUCCUCAUAGUCAACUUCAAGAAGAAACAACCAUUUCAAACUCUACAUGUCAAAACUGCCAACAAAUAUGCACAUGUAAUCUCCUAAUUACAUUAACAACAAGAACUAACUGACAUUAAAAUAGUCUCUGGACACGACACCAUAACCAUGGCUCACCAACAACACGACCCCGACACCAACCUACCAAAAUCCUAACUCCUCGCUCAAAGAGGAGGCCAAAACCCCUCGCUCAAACUAUGAAAUUCUUAUAACGCAUUGAUCAACAUUUCAGUAAUAUUUCCAUUCUAGUAUUGUGUUGCUCCUUUAGGGACGAAUUCAUGAUUAGUCGAGAAAUACUACUCUAAUACUCUAAUAGCAAAGUUAGGACAUCAAGGGUACUGCUCCAUAGUCUAAAUUGAACAAAUGUGUUUAUACAAAUCUUACAUCAAAGGUACCUUCGAGUUCUUCUCCCUUUUUUUGAUUAUAAAGAAAUGUCGACACUAAGUAGCUACUUGUGUGUUAGUGUAUAUGGAGCAUGCUGAAUUCCAAUAAGCUUGAACUCAAUCGAGGGGACUGCUUUGUAAUCAAUGGCUAAUACCCUUUUACAUUAUACAAAUGACCUCAACCCAAUCCAGUUCUACUUGACCAAGGGCCAUUAACUCUUUUGUUCUAUAAAAAAGAACCAAUUCAAUUAAAC